This 484-nucleotide ribosomal RNA is filed under the name uncultured bacterium. RNAcentral's name for it is "partial 16S ribosomal RNA". It matches the Rfam family "Bacterial small subunit ribosomal RNA", at positions 29 to 507 of the family's 1533-position model. The record is from RNAcentral.
AUUGAACGCUGGCGGAAUGCUUUACACAUGCAAGUCGAGCGGCAGCGCGGCCUUCGGGCUGGCGGCGAGCGGCGAACGGGUGAGUAAUGCAUCGGAACGUGCCCAGUCGUGGGGGAUAACACUUCGAAAGAAGUGCUAAUACCGCAUACGUCCUGAGGGGGAAAGCGGGGGAUCGCAAGACCUCGCGCGAUUGGAGUGGCCGAUGUCAGAUUAGCUAGUUGGUGGGGUAAAGGCCUACCAAGGCGACGAUCUGUAGCUGGUCUGAGAGGAUGAUCGGCCACACUGGGACUGAGACACGGCCCAGACUCCUACGGGAGGCAGCAGUGGGGAAUUUUGGACAAUGGGGGCAACCCUGAUCCAGCCAUUCCGCGUGAGUGAAGAAGGCCUUCGGGUUGUAAAGCUCUUUCGGCAGGAACGAAACGGUGGGCUCUAACAUAGUCCGCUACUGACGGUACCUGAAGAAGAAGCACGGGCUAACUACGUG